CUGCAGUUCUCUAGAUCAUUCGGCUCUGAAGCUUGCCUUGUUCCUCCCCUUUGUCAGACACGGGGGUUCCUCUCUCGCGCACCGAUGGACGCUUACCAGCCGCCGCCGCACAUGAGACCUCCGGCGAGGCCUGCACCGGCGGAUCCCUAUCAUCAGUACUACCAGAACCCGGCUAGACCUCCGGCGCCUCCUCCUCCGCAGCCGCAGGGCCCUUCUGCAUGGUACCCUAACAAUCAAUACCAUUACCCUCACUCCCCGUCUCCGCCUCCUCCUCCUCCGCCGCAGUGGGGCCCUCCUCCGCCGGAACAUCUUCCUCCUCAACCCCAUUCUUCCCCCGCGUAUCCUCCACCUCCUCCUUUUCCUCUGCACCCUCACCAGCCGCCGUUCAGCGCCGGCGCCAACAACAGCGGUCAGUUUCCGUUUCCUCCCAGACCGCCGUUGCCUCCGCCAUACCCUCAGGAAUGGAGCAAUCAGAAUUGGGGAUAUCACCAAGGUCACAUCUCUCAAGCUAAUAGCAACGCUGAAGACUGGGCAGUCAAAGCCAGAGAAUGGGCUGCUGCAAAAGCUGUUGCAGAGGAUCAACAUUCGCAAUCUGCAGCGUAUCCACCAAGCGGAGCAGGUGAACAAAUUCACCAACAAUAUCAAGAUGUUCAUCAGCACUCGGUUCCAGGAUUAAGCUAUCAUCAGUUUCCGGUUCCGCCUCCAGCAACACCAACCGGAUACCCAAAUUAUCCAGCAGUAGAUGGAAGUCUGCCUGGAGCUUCAUCUGCUGGAUAUUCUCAUCAAGAGAACUUACCCACCAGUUCUGCAAUUCAUCAGCAGGAGGUACCUUCUAGUUAUUCUUCUGUAGCAGGUAAAGAAGAAUCUAGCAAUACGACACAAAGUGAGGCACAGAUAUUGGUGCUUCCUGCUGGUGGACCAAUUUCGGCAGAGCAGUCUUAUGUAUAUGGAGAUCAAUCGUCUGCACCACCUAGUAGUCUUAGUGACCAGCCCUUACAGUUUACUAGUAGGGCUAGUUCUGAAAAUGUUAGUCUUCAUAAUGCCUGGCCUCCCCCUAGCGCAACGGGCAUGGUGUAUCCCCCGAUUCCUUCAUCCUUGCCCUCAGCAGCACAGCACAACCCAUCUAUGGUUAUGCCGCAUGUUUCGGGUCAUGCCAUGCCUCCAUUUGGGGGAUUCCCUCCUCCAAAUCUCCAGUCCACAGUUCAGUCUGUAGGACCACCUUAUGCUUUUGGCGCAAAGCCACCACUUCAUCCUGUUACAGCAUUCAUGGAUGACACAUAUUCAGCAACUGCUGUGCCUGAACGCCCAAAAAAGGCACCUGUACCUGUCUGGCUUAAGGAGGAAAUAUUGAAGAACAAAGCUGCUCUUGGAAAAUCUUCUUCAGGAAAUACCGUGGGAAGAGAGUCUAUAGAUGAUGACUCCCUUGACAAUACUCUUGGGAAACCUGAUCGGCCUGAUGCUAAAAGCUUCAGUUCUUCUAAAUUCACCGACGAAGAGGAAGAAGAAGAGGACGAUGAGGACGAUGUGGAAGCAGCUAGAACCGCAGCUAUUAACCAGGAGAUAAAACGUAUCUUGACUGAAGUUCUUCUUAAGGUAACAGACGAACUAUUUGAUGAAAUUGCAACAAAAGUUAUUAGUGCGGAUGAUAUGAGAACAGAAGAUGAUGAGCAGAUGCACCAGGCUUCAGCAAAGAUUCUAGUUCCGCCUAAAGUUAAGGAAUCUGAGAUGGAAGGUACAAGUAGAAAAGCUGGCUCUGGCUCCCAGGGAGGUGUGCUAGGUCUUGUGAGCUAUGCCUCUGAUGAUGACGACAACGAAGAUGGUUAUGCCGAUACCAAUGGACGUCCUGAUGCUGUUGCCGUUGAUGGAGAUCAAAAUCCUCUCAUGGACUCGAGUAAUGGUGUUCUUCGGCAGCCCAACACUAAGAAACUUCUUGAACAUGAUGUGGUAUCCAAUGCAGGAUCAGAGUUAGAAACUGAAGCCAGUGAGAUCUUCCCCAAGAACCAUAAGUCAAGCGUUGAUGAAUAUUUGGAGAAAUGUGGAUCCAAGAGAAGUAAUGACAAAGCUGAUGUUGAUGCUAGUAAAGUGCGUGAUAGAAGCAGAGAAGAACACCCUGAAGGUAGUGACAUACAUAAAGAUGCAGCAAGAAAAGAUCCUCCCACAAAAAAUGCUGGUGCAAAAUCAGAUAGUUCCAGCAAAGAUUUGCAUGAAGAGGUGAGUGGGGAUACAAGUAGAGCAGAUGAUAAGGACGCCCGAAAAGACAAGGCAGAUCAUCGGAAUGGCUCAAGAGAUAGAACUAGGCAGAACGAUGUAAAGCCUGCAGAGAAGGACAAGGGAUCUGAAUCAAAUAAAAAGUCCAAUGCCCAUGAUGCUAAGAAGGAUUGGAGAGAAGGGGAGAGACCUAAAAGGACAAGUUCCAAGGAAGAUGGAGAUAGAAAAAGGGAGAGAGAAAAGGAAGAAGAACGAUCGAGACAUAGGCAUGUUAGGGAGAUGACGAGCAAGGAUAAGAGAAGACGUUCUUCUCCAACCAGCGAUGAAUCAUCUGAUGAUGAUUCACGAAGAAAGUCCCAUUCGAGGAGAAGAAAUUCAUCACCAUCUCCUGUAAGGUCCAGAAGAAGGUUAGCCUUUUCUGAACUUAAAAAUCUGACUGCUUAAACCUUAAAUUAGCCCAUACACACGCUUGAUGACUUGGUGAUAUGCUUGUUAGUAAAAAAAAAAUAGCUCUUUUACUUUUGCCUGCCACUACUGUGGUGGUGUUGAGAGAUCAUGCAUAUGCAAUAGCAUAUGGUUUCACUUUGAUGUUGUCAAUGUCAAAGCGUCAAAAAGAGAAGAUGGGGGCUUUUACCAUACAUAGAAUGACAUGAAUGGAUAUGACAAAAGGUACAUACCAUAUGCCCCGAGACACACACCCUGUUACUGAUGUCCCCUUUUCUUAGUUAAGUGGAAGCUCUGAGUGUUUUUCUUAAAUGCCAUCGAACCAGCCUGAUAGUGUGCUUUUUUUUUCAUUAUUAAAAAAAAACAGGGGAAGAGAAUCAAGAUCGAAGUCACCACACAGCCGGAAGAGGGGUGUGAUGAAAGGGAAAGGG
Molecule: RNA transcript, 3083 nt
Organism: Tarenaya hassleriana
Lineage: Eukaryota; Viridiplantae; Streptophyta; Magnoliopsida; Brassicales; Cleomaceae
Gene name: transcription elongation regulator 1
Exons: 11
Source: RefSeq, a predicted model, not a curated record